Molecule: ribosomal RNA, 468 nt
Filed under: uncultured bacterium
Lineage: Bacteria
Description: partial 16S ribosomal RNA
Rfam family: Bacterial small subunit ribosomal RNA
Source: RNAcentral
GAUGAACGCUGGCGGCGUGCUUAACACAUGCAAGUCGAACGGUGAAGGCGGAGCUUGCUCUGCUGGAUCAGUGGCGAACGGGUGAGUAACACGUGAGCAAUCUGCCCCUGACUCUGGGAUAAGCGCUGGAAACGGCGUCUAAUACUGGAUACGAGCUGCGAAGGCAUCUUCAGCAGCUGGAAAGAACUUCGGUCAGGGAUGAGCUCGCGGCCUAUCAGCUUGUUGGUGAGGUAACGGCUCACCAAGCCGUCGACGGGUAGCCGGCCUGAGAGGGUGACCGGCCACACUGGGACUGAGACACGGACCAGACUCCUACGGGAGGCAGCAGUGGGGAAUAUUGCACAAUGGGCGAAAGCCUGAUGCAGCAACGCCGCGUGAGGGACGACGGCCUUCGGGUUGUAAACCUCUUUUAGCAGGGAAGAAGCGAAAGUGACGGUACCUGCAGAAAAAGCGCCGGCUAACUACGUG